GUACACUCCUGCGGGAGGCAGCAGUGGGGAAUUUUGGACAAUGGGCGAAAGCCUGAUCCAGCCAUGCCGCGUGCAGGAUGAAGGCCUUCGGGUUGUAAACUGCUUUUGUACGGAACGAAACGGCCUUUUCUAAUAAAGAGGGCUAAUGACGGUACCGUAAGAAUAAGCACCGGCUAACUACGUGCCAGCAGCCGCGGUAAUACGUAGGGUGCAAGCGUUAAUCGGAAUUACUGGGCGUAAAGCGUGCGCAGGCGGUUAUGUAAGACAGUUGUGAAAUCCCCGGGCUCAACCUGGGAACUGCAUCUGUGACUGCAUAGCUAGAGUACGGUAGAGGGGGAUGGAAUUCCGCGUGUAGCAGUGAAAUGCGUAGAUAUGCGGAGGAACACCGAUGGCGAAGGCAAUCCCCUGGACCUGUACUGACGCUCAUGCACGAAAGCGUGGGGAGCAAACAGGAUUAGAAACCCGAGUAGUCCC
RNAcentral lists this ribosomal RNA (474 nucleotides) under uncultured organism. RNAcentral describes it as "partial 16S ribosomal RNA". It matches the Rfam family "Bacterial small subunit ribosomal RNA", at positions 331 to 797 of the family's 1533-position model. The record is from RNAcentral.